UUUUUUUUUUCCCUCUGUGGCUUUCUGUAGGUGCACAGAAAAAGCUAAUCUCUCCCUCUCUUGUUGUUUAAUGCAGCUCAUAUAAUUGGAAAACCUCCUCUGAAGAGUCUGGGGCAGACAGCUGUGCCAGCUGUGCCAUUAGUAGUGUCACCUAAUGGGAGCAGAGCGGAGUGGAAAGCAAAACAAGCAGCAGUAGGAUGUUUCUGUGCAUCUUUCCAAUGUUCCCUACAGCCAAGCUUGCUAGAGUGAAUUCAGCUGUGAAUUUGAAGAGCAGAAAAAAAGAUUUUCUUACCACCGGUGCUGUUAUACUGUUAGGCUCCACAAACGGUGUAUUUGACCCUAAAGUUACUGCUCUGGCCGUAUAACGUUCUUUUUACUUUUUGAAGCAUGCAGUCUUUGGGUUUGGGCAUUGUUGUAGAUAAUUUGCAGAUUAGUUUAUUAAUGAAAGUUCACCUGGUAGCGAGCAUGCUCUGCUGCCUGUUCCUCAGAGGGUGAGCAGUAAAGCUGAGUUGUAUGAUUACCUGAUUUAUAUUUCCAGGGCCAGUUCUUUGGUCUUUGCCUUCCCAGCUUGGCUACUGGAGAACUCUGUGUUUGGGGGUACCCUGAAGCCUUUAAGGGCAGGAGAUGCUGCUGACCUUGGCAUGUGGAUCUGCAGCUUGGUGCUUCCAUCGUUCAUUACUAUGAUGCUAAUCACCUGGCCAUGCAUGCAUAUUCAGGGAGUGUUUAUUUAAGGGUGCAUGUGGGGAAAUCCAAAUUCCCCAAACUGCGCGGAGUUACGUGGUCGUCAUAUUUGAAAUGUGUGACCCAUGGUUACAAAGGAUGUUUUUUGUAAAUGCUGUUGAUCUGGUGGCAUAUGUCAGGGACUGGAAAAUGCAGGCUAUUUAUAAUUAUCCACAGGUGGAGAGAGAGGCGGCGCUGCACAGCACUAGCAAUAAUUAUCAGCAGUGUAGAAAGUUCAUCUCUUAAGCCAUUGGUUCUAACACACUAAAAAGUAUUUGAUCUGGAAUCUGGCACAGCCUUCAAAUGGAGCCGUUCAAAGGAGUCCUGACCUAAUUUUGCUAAGGAAGUGUGCAAGCCUUCCUCGUUCUGCUAAUUUCUUGCAGAAGGUUUCAAUGAGAGUCUUCCUACCCUACAUGUGCAUAUAUUUUACUGCAGAGCGUUUUGAAUAAAAGCAGCCAUUACCAGCCAGGUGGUAAAUAUAGCAUGCAGCUUAGCAGAAAUGACCUUCAAUUAAGCAGAGGCGGUCCCUUCUCCUGCGCCGUGCAGUUGUCAAUUACUUUUUUUUUUUAAAAGACUAUUUUUGCUGUGUCUUUUUGUGAAUAAUUGCAAAGCCUGAAGCACAGCGCUGGCUCUGUGUAUAAGAGCAGAUUUGGUGCUUGUGCUGAACUCCUCUUCCAGUGCACACCUCAAAAAUUUGGAGUCUCUAACAAACAGAAGUUUGCUUUCUUUUCCAGGGAAAUACCUCAUUAAUUAUGAAACAUUGUCCACUGAGCUAUGUAAAUUUUUCUGUUGAAGGAUAUAGCACGGGUUCUUUGACUUUCCUUGGGAUAAAUCAAAGCAGAAGUGACGACGUUAUGUCUUAAUGGGCUUUCAUCUUCAGAAGAAAAUGGAGGGGGGGGAAAUCCUAUUUUUCAACAGUGGCACAAGAGCACAUACUGCAAUAGAGCUCAGGUUUUCCUCAUUACUGGCAGUGUAGGUGUAGGCUGUUUUUAUCGUAAGAUAAAAACAAACAAAGCAACCUGAACCGAGGGCUUUUAAAUUCUGUCUCACCUGUCACUCACACGUUUUCUCAUGCCAUUAUCACUGCAGUGUUGUUGUAAGACUACUGGUUUCCUACCAGAAACGCAGCCUUUUUGUUCAGUAUGGUUUUUUGACUCAUGCAAGCCAGGUAACUGCUAGUAUUGGCACUGCUCUCUGGUCUCGUGUUGCAAGCACGGGAUCCAACAGCAGAAAACGAGCGCAGAGGGAUCUGUCCUGAGCUAACAAACAAACAAAAAUAACCCUAGCCAUUUCCCCGCUGAGAAUUUAGGAGACGGAAUACUGCUGUAUUGUUGCUGCUGAUCUCCUGUGGGUAUGGAGGGCAUCGAGGAAGUCAGGCUGUGAGACACCAGGAGAGAGGAGAGCCACAGUAUGACUUCAUGUGCUGAAAAUCUUUCAUCUGGUGACUGCUCACAACCAAGUGGUAUCACUCCAGGAAAGUUACUCACGUGUUGGAAGUGGCGGCAGCAAUGGACGGGAGAGAGGCAGCUUUCCCUGGAAGGAUGGAAAAAAUGAAGAAAAACUGCUGUAGCCAUACAUUUUGAUUCCUUUUACUUCUGUUUUCAUUCUUUUUUGUUGUUGUUGUUGUCUUUUGGUACAUGGAGGGUGUUGAUGCAAUCAGUUCCACGCUGUGCUCUGCCCAGGAGCCAUGCAAAGCACUGACAGGGAGCAAGUGGUUAUCCAGCACCCUAGGGUACCCUGGGCAUUUGUGGGAGCUGGAGGUGAAGGAAUCGCCUCCUCUUACCCAAACCUGAGCUGCUCACCUCCUCUGGAAUGAUGCUUGGUCUGGAGAGCAUGGCAUUGUUGCAAGUAACCUCAUGAAAGAUGAGUGCGAAGGCAAUGGUGGAUUUAUCAGCGGUGCUCCGGCAAGUGGAGGUGUGCCUGCUGCUGCGGCUGCUUUUGAGAAAGCAGAGGGCCACCUUCACCAGGAGAACUGGGGCAGGGUGGUAGGUCGUAGCAGACUGUUUGUGGAGGAAAUAAACCAGAAAUACCACUUGGAGUAUCUGAACUGAUGUGGAAAUACAUAGAUAAGGCUGCUCUGUCAAUACUUCAGCACGACGUAAGAGAUCUCUAGCUCUUACAGGAGCAACAACCAAUAAGUUGCAGCCUUGUUAAGCUCACGUAUGCUUCUAGUAAAGUACCUCUAUUUUAUCAGUGUGUCUCUGGAAAUCUGUGUGGUUCAUGCCUCUCAGUAUAUGAAUUAGCCAAUUUAAGGCAAUGCAUCACAGUGCAUGUGGUUAUAAUGCUCCCACUUAUAUGAUGAAAAUUAGGGAAUAUUUUAUAAUGAUACGAGCUAUUAAAACUUAUUUAGCUUUCACCUAAUAAAUAUUUAUUAGCUGCUAAAUAUCAGUCAUUAAUGCCUGAUAAACGAGGUUCUCCAGGAGGCAGCUUCGGCUAGGAAGGCAUCUCUCCCCUUCCUUCCCUGCACAGCUCUGCAUUAAGCAAGGUCCUUCCCACCUGCUGCUUUGUGCCUGAGGUUGGAAUUUCCCCUUUUCAGUGCUCGUCACUGAGCCUGGAUGGAGAUACGGGGAUCUUGCACUCUCCCAGCACUCAGAAAGGGUGUAUUUCUUUAGGACAAAUCCUCUUAGAGAUGUGAAUUCAUUUACUUCUCAGGGAGGAUUGAAAUGGAGCAUCUAUUCAAGCUGCGCUGUGAUUUUCUUCACUGGAAUUCAGAUGGAUAUUAUGCAUGUCACAGGGCUCAGUUCCCGAACACAUUUUUUACUCGUUAAAGUCUGCUUUUAAAUGUCAAUAUACUCACCUCUUAAGCUUAAGCAUCCAGAAUUGACAGGUGUUUUUUUCAGAACUAGACUUUGUGGAGGGGAAAGGAGGAAGGCAGUAUUAAAAUAAAGCUCCGUGGGACUGCUGGUUCAGCGUUAGCAUCAGUGGAUGACAAGAUUGGAAGUACUACAGGUGCCAUUUUCCAGGACAGCAAACACAUGUAGAGUUCUUGGUUACUUUUGGGGUGGGCAGAAUUUUCUACAGAGCAAGGAAACAGUAAUUCAGCCAUGUGCAUUAUGGCUGUUUGAUGGGAAUGGCCAAACUCCAUUUAUAUACGGAAGCAUCUUAUGUUAACACAGGGAAAAAGGCAGGAAAAUGGGGAGCUGAAAAAAAAAAGAUGGGUGUUCAGUGGUGUUUUGCUGAUGCAUUAGGUGGUGGCUUGCUGCAGAAUUGCCUUUCAGGAGUUAGGGACUUCACAUUUUCAAAUGUAAAGUUUCUAGUGCCUGGCAGUUUCAGGAUUUCCAUGCAUCAGCAUGAUCCGUACAGAUAAGGGAGCCAGAUUUAGUUAUGUGCUCUUGCCAUUUAAAAGGCCAACCGUUCCGUGCAGUUUUGCAGAAGGAACUGUAUUAAUUUCCUUUUUCAGUCCUUGUGUUCUGUGCGAGGCUUUAUUUUUCUUAAGAAACCGCAGCAUCUGAAACUUUGAGGAUUAAAAGUAACUUUGAAGAGUGUAAUUACAACUCGGUUCUCCGCUGCAUUGCACUUGUUUUGUAAACUGUAACCGUGCAGCUGAACUUGCCCUUUGAAUGAAGCCUUACGUACCACGAGGGUUAAUACUUAAACCAAACCACCUGCUUAAAAUUGGCUACCCAUUACCCCAGUUCCAUUAAAUUAGGAACUCGGGUAACAAAGUGAAAAGGUUCUUGCUUUAUAGCCUGAGCCACUUUCCCACCCUCAGGCACCGGGCUUAUUUUAAGUCUCUUGCUCGGAAGAAAAUAGAAUUCAUUUCUUCAGCUGCACAUGACUGUCUCAGCGUGGCGAAAAUAGAAACCGGUGCUACCCCAGAUGCAUAAUUCAUCCCGUAGCUAGCAGGCAUUCAUGCAAUACAGUAAAUUGCAAGGGCUGCUUCCUUCGAGCACGCCUCGCAUGCGGGUGAACGACGGAGCGGGGCUGCGGUGCCCGUGCUCGGUGCCCUUCGUGUGCUCAGGGCAGAUCGGCCACUUCUUUCCUUCACUGGUGGGAUGGGUGCUGGGAGAAUAAGGACUGGGGCCCUUUGAGCCUGGUUUUGUGGGAGCAAACACUCACCUGGCAUCCACUGAAGUUACGGGGAAGCUUAAUGUGUGAAUGAACAGGCUGCAGCUUUGCUGGCAGCCCGUUGAUGAAAAGAUGCAGCUUAAGGCUUUACAGAAAACGUCUGGAUUUGUAUAUGAAAAAGUAGUUUUGUAAGGUAUAUCGCUGCUGUGUGAUGUAUUUUUCUUCUUUCUGUCUUUCCCCCAGACGGUGGUGUUUGCUUCUUCCCCUCCACCACAUCAGUAUCACUAGUUACUGCCACCAGAAUUGGAGAGCUGGCAUUCAGGACACUCGCUGCUGAGUAUUCAAGAAGUGCAGCACAAUGUAGAUCAUGUAAAUAGCAAAAAUCUUUGCUUCUGAACAAAAGAGAAUUUCCUAAUUUCCAUUAAAAAAUAUAGAAGCUUUU
Molecule: non-coding RNA, 5170 nt
Organism: Anas platyrhynchos (mallard)
Lineage: Eukaryota; Metazoa; Chordata; Aves; Anseriformes; Anatidae
Source: RefSeq, a predicted model, not a curated record